GGGGGUAUAGUUCAGUGGCAGAGCACAUGCUUGGCAUGUACAAGGUCCUGGGUUCAUACUCCAGUGCCUCUG
RNAcentral lists this transfer RNA (72 nucleotides) under Camelus dromedarius (Arabian camel). It matches the Rfam family "tRNA". From Rfam's summary of the family: Transfer RNA (tRNA) molecules are approximately 80 nucleotides in length. Lineage: Eukaryota; Metazoa; Chordata; Mammalia; Artiodactyla; Camelidae. RNAcentral also lists the same sequence under 1 other name. The record is from Rfam by way of RNAcentral.